This 347-nucleotide ribosomal RNA is filed under the name uncultured bacterium. RNAcentral describes it as "bacterial SSU rRNA". It matches the Rfam family "Bacterial small subunit ribosomal RNA", at positions 159 to 507 of the family's 1533-position model. The record is from RNAcentral.
CGGGCUAACAUCAGAUGAUAUAUAGUCACGACAUCGUGGAAAUAUCAAAUCUUCGGAGCCUUGGGAUGAGCCUGCGUCUGAUUAGGUAGUUGGCGGAGUAAUAGCCCACCAAGCCUACGAUCAGUAGCUGGUCUGAGAGGAUGAUCAGCCACACUGGAACCGAGACACGGUCCAGACUCCUACGGGAGGCAGCAGUAAGGAAUAUUGCUCAAUGGGGGGAAACCCUGAAGCAGCAACGCCGCGUGAAGGAUGAAAUACUUUUGUAUGUAAACUUCUGUAAGAUGGGAAAAAUAUUCUCCUCGGGAGAAUUGAUUGUACCAUCAGAGUAAGCCCCGGCUAACUACGUG